This 981-nucleotide ribosomal RNA is filed under the name uncultured bacterium. RNAcentral describes it as "bacterial SSU rRNA". It matches the Rfam family "Bacterial small subunit ribosomal RNA", at positions 8 to 1025 of the family's 1533-position model. The record is from RNAcentral.
AGAGUUUGAUCAUGGCUCAGAAUCAACGCUGGCGGCGCGCUUAACACAUGCAAGUCGCACGAGAAAGGGGCAACCUGAGUAAAGUGGCGUACGGGUGAGUAACACGUGGGUAAUCUACCUCUUAGUGGGGAAUAACCUGGGGAAACCCGGGCUAAUACCGCAUAAUCUCGAGAGAGGAAAGCAGCAAUGCGCUGAGAGAGGAGCCCGCGGCCGAUUAGCUAGUUGGCAGGGUAAGAGCCUACCAAGGCAGAGAUCGGUAGCCGGCCUGAGAGGGCACACGGCCACACUGGCACUGAAACACGGGCCAGACUCCUACGGGAGGCAGCAGUGGGGAAUCUUGCACAAUGGGGGAAACCCUGAUGCAGCGACGCCGCGUGAGCGAUGAAGCCCUUCGGGGUGUAAAGCUCUUUCGUCAGGGAAGAUGAUGACGGUACCUGGAGAAGCAGCUGCGGCUAACUACGUGCCAGCAGCCGCGGUAAUACGUAGGCAGCGAGCGUUGUUCGGAGUUACUGGGCGUAAAGGGUGUGUAGGCGGUUCUUUAAGUUUGGUGUGAAAUCUCCCGGCUCAACCGGGAGGGUGCGCCGAAUACUGAGGGACUCGAGUGCGGGAGAGGAAAGUGGAAUUCCUGGUGUAGCGGUGAAAUGCGUAGAUAUCAGGAGGAACACCGGUGGUGUAGACGGCUUUCUGGACCGUAACUGACGCUGAGACACGAAAGCGUGGGUAGCAAACAGGAUUAGAUACCCUGGUAGUCCACGCCCUAAACGAUGCAUAUUUGGUGUGGGUCAUUCAGUUGAUCCGUGCCGGAGCUAACGCGUUAAAUAUGCCGCCUGGGGAGUACAGUCGCAAGGCUGAAACUCAAGGGAUUGACGGGGGCCCGCACAAGCGGUGGAGCAUGUGGUUCAAUUCGACGCAACGCGAAGAACCUUACCUGGGCUCGAACGGCUGGUCAACGGAGGUGGAAACAUCUUCUACUCCCGCAAG